This 479-nucleotide ribosomal RNA is filed under the name uncultured earthworm cast bacterium. RNAcentral's name for it is "bacterial SSU rRNA". It matches the Rfam family "Bacterial small subunit ribosomal RNA", at positions 60 to 586 of the family's 1533-position model. The record is from RNAcentral.
AGUCGAGCGCCCCGCAAGGGGAGCGGCAGACGGGUGAGUAACGCGUGGGAACGNACCCUNUUCUACGGAAUAACCCAGGGAAACUUGGACUAAUCCCGUGUGUGCCCUUCGGGGGAAAGAUUUAUCGGAAAAGGAUCGGCCCGCGUUGGAUUACCUAGUUGGUGGGGUAAAGGCCUACCAAGGCGACCAUCCAUAGCUGGUCUGAGAGGAUGAUCAGCCACAUUGGGACUGAGACACGGCCCAAACUCCUACGGGAGGCAGCAGUGGGGAAUAUUGGACAAUGGGCGCAAGCCUGAUCCAGCCAUGCCGCGUGAGUGAUGAAGGCCCUAGGGUUGUAAAGCUCUUUCACCGGUGAAGAUAAUGACGGUAACCGGAGAAGAAGCCCCGGCUAACUUCGUGCCAGCAGCCGCGGUAAUACNAAGGGGGCUAGCCGUUGUUCGGAUUUACUGGGCGUAAAGCGCACGUAGGCGGAUCGAUCA